GUGGGGAAUAUUGCACAAUGGGCGAAAGCCUGAUGCAGCAACGCCGCGUGAGGGACGACGGCCUUCGGGUUGUAAACCUCUUUUAGUAGGGAAGAAGCGAAAGUGACGGUACCUGCAGAAAAAGCACCGGCUAACUACGUGCCAGCAGCCGCGGUAAUACGUAGGGUGCAAGCGUUAUCCGGAAUUAUUGGGCGUAAAGAGCUCGUAGGCGGUCUGUCGCGUCUGCUGUGAAAACUGGAGGCUCAACCUCCAGCCUGCAGUGGGUACGGGCAGACUAGAGUGCGGUAGGGGAGAUUGGAAUUCCUGGUGUAGCGGUGGAAUGCGCAGAUAUCAGGAGGAACACCGAUGGCGAAGGCAGAUCUCUGGGCCGUAACUGACGCUGAGGAGCGAAAGCGUGGGGAGCAAACAGGAUUAGAUACCCUGGUAGUCC
Molecule: ribosomal RNA, 430 nt
Filed under: uncultured bacterium
Lineage: Bacteria
Description: partial 16S ribosomal RNA
Rfam family: Bacterial small subunit ribosomal RNA
Source: RNAcentral